UACGAAGGGGGCAAGCGUUGUUCGGAAUUACUGGGCGUAAAGGGCGCGUAGGCGGCCGAUCAAGUCAGGCGUGAAAUUCCCGGGCUCAACCUGGGAAUGGCAUUGGUGACUGCACGGCUAGAGUGUGUCAGAGGGGGGUAGAAUUCCACGUGUAGCAGUGAAAUGCGUAGAGAUGUGGAGGAAUACCGAUGGCGAAGGCAGCCCCCUGGGAUAACACUGACGCUCAUGCACGAAAGCGUGGGGAGCAAACAGG
This 253-nucleotide ribosomal RNA is filed under the name uncultured bacterium. RNAcentral's name for it is "partial 16S ribosomal RNA". It matches the Rfam family "Bacterial small subunit ribosomal RNA", at positions 524 to 776 of the family's 1533-position model. The record is from RNAcentral.